UAUCUCUGUAGAGUCUGCAUAUCAAUAAGCGGAGGAAAAGAAACUAACAUAGGAUUCCCUCAGUAACGGCGAGUGAAGCGGGAAGAGCUCAAAUUUGAAAUCUUCAAGGUUCUACCUUGACGAAUUGUAGUUUAAAGAAGUGUUUUCUGUUGAAGUUUUGGUAAAAGUUCUUUGGAAUAGGACAUCAUAGAGGGUGAGAAUCCCGUAUUUGACCAGUUACUUUCCAGCUGUGUGAUACACUUUCAAAGAGUCGGAUUGUUUGGGAAUGCAGUCCAAAAUGGGUGGUAAAUUUCAUCUAAAGCUAAAUACUGGCGAGAGACCGAUAGCGAACAAGUACCGUGAGGGAAAGAUGAAAAGAACUUUGAAAAGAGAGUUAAACAGUACGUGAAAUUGUCAAAAGGGAAGCGUUUGACACCAGUGUUGUUUUUCCAAAAAUCAAUUACGAAUGGCUUGAUUCUGUGUUGUAUUGACCUUAUCAGCUUUCUGCACUUUUUUUCGAGUCUUUCUUAAUGCACUUUUUCGGUUAACAAGUCAACAUCAAUUUCUUUUGUUGUAAAAGAGUAUUCGGAAGGUGGCUUUUCUUUUCGGAGAAAGUGUUUAUAGCCCUAUACUUCUACAAUCGGAGAGAUUGAGGUCUGCAGCGUAGAUCCUUCGGGGUUAGAUACAUUUGUGCUAAGUUGUAGCCUUUCAUAGACAACUUGUUGACUAUGAUCAGUCAUGUAGCUUACUCGCUUAGUGCUAUUUUACCUACGCUUAGGAUGUUGAAGAUGUAGCACAUCAU
Molecule: ribosomal RNA, 781 nt
Filed under: uncultured Neocallimastigales
Lineage: Eukaryota; Fungi; Neocallimastigomycota; Neocallimastigomycetes; Neocallimastigales
Description: partial large subunit ribosomal RNA
Rfam family: Eukaryotic large subunit ribosomal RNA
Source: RNAcentral